RNAcentral lists this long non-coding RNA (315 nucleotides) under Fukomys damarensis (Damara mole-rat). Its description in RNAcentral is "lncRNA (ENSFDAG00000031318.1)". Lineage: Eukaryota; Metazoa; Chordata; Mammalia; Rodentia; Bathyergidae. The record is from RNAcentral.
AGAUGUGCUACUGAUCUGGCACCUCUGACCCCACUGUUCACCUUUAACAUCUGAACUUACAGAAACUGAACGAGCCAAAGAAGAGGCUGCUGAUGUGUCCACCAAGAAAGCUGCACCUGGAAAGAAGGAACAGAAAGCAGUCAAGACAGUGGAGCAAGAUACUGACCAGCACGGAGUCUGCAACAGAGACUAACAUGCUUGCUGUCAAGCUCCCUGUACACAAGAAAAACACAGGAUAGCCAGCUAUUGAGUGCAUCUAGCUUGUAUUUUAACACACAAAUGUGCUUUUCCUUCAAAACACUGUGCCUCCAGGGA